GAUGAACGCUGGCGGCGUGCCUAAUACAUGCAAGUCGAGCGAACAGACGAGGAGCUUGCUCCUUUGACGUUAGCGGCGGACGGGUGAGUAACACGUAGGUAACCUACCUAUAAGACUGGGAUAACUUCGGGAAACCGGAGCUAAUACCGGAUAAUAUUUCGAACCGCAUGGUUCGAUAGUGAAAGAUGGCUUUGCUAUCACUUAUAGAUGGACCUGCGCCGUAUUAGCUAGUUGGUAAGGUAACGGCUUACCAAGGCAACGAUACGUAGCCGACCUGAGAGGGUGGUCGGCCACACUGGAACUGCGACACGGUCCAGACUCCUACGGGAGGCAGCAGUAGGGAAUCUUCCGCAAUGGGCGAAAGCCUGACGGAGCAACGCCGCGUGAGUGAUGACGGUCUUCGGAUCGUAAAACUCUGUUAUUAGGGAAGAACAAACGUGUAAGUAACUGUGCACGUCUUGACGGUACCUAAUCAGAAAGCCACGGCUAACUACGUG
Molecule: ribosomal RNA, 497 nt
Filed under: uncultured bacterium
Lineage: Bacteria
Description: partial 16S ribosomal RNA
Rfam family: Bacterial small subunit ribosomal RNA
Source: RNAcentral